GAUAUGUGAAUACAUAGCAUAUCAGAAGGCACACCCGGAGAACUGAAACAUCUUAGUACCCGGAGGAAGAGAAAGAAAAUUCGAUUCCCUUAGUAGCGGCGAGCGAAACGGGAAGAGCCCAAACCAACAAGCUUGCUUGUUGGGGUUGUAGGACACUCUAUACGGAGUUACAAAGGACGACAUUAGACGAAUCAUCUGGAAAGAUGAAUCAAAGAAGGUAAUAAUCCUGUAGUCGAAAAUGUUGUCUCUCUUGAGUGGAUCCUGAGUACGACGGAGCACGUGAAAUUCCGUCGGAAUCUGGGAGGACCAUCUCCUAAGGCUAAAUACUCUCUAGUGACCGAUAGUGAACCAGUACCGUGAGGGAAAGGUGAAAAGCACCCCGGAAGGGGAGUGAAAUAGAACCUGAAACCGUGUGCUUACAAGUAGUCAGAGCCCGUUAAUGGGUGAUGGCGUGCCUUUUGUAGAAUGAACCGGCGAGUUACGAUUUGAUGCAAGGUUAAGCAGUAAAUGUGGAGCCGUAGCGAAAGCGAGUCUGAAUAGGGCGUUUAGUAUUUGGUCGUAGACCCGAAACCAGGUGAUCUACCC
RNAcentral lists this ribosomal RNA (585 nucleotides) under Staphylococcus aureus. RNAcentral describes it as "partial 23S ribosomal RNA". It matches the Rfam family "Bacterial large subunit ribosomal RNA", at positions 153 to 735 of the family's 2925-position model. Lineage: Bacteria; Bacillati; Bacillota; Bacilli; Caryophanales; Staphylococcaceae. The record is from RNAcentral.